UUAUCCGGAUUUAUUGGGUUUAAAGGGUGCGUAGGCGGCACGCCAAGUCAGCGGUGAAAUUUUCGGGCUCAACCCGGAACUGCCGUUGAAACUGGCGAGCUAGAGUGCACAAGAGGCAGGCGGAAUGCGUGGUGUAGCGGUGAAAUGCAUAGAUAUCACGCAGAACCCCGAUUGCGAAGGCAGCCUGCUAGGGUGCGACAGACGCUGAGGCACGAAAGCGUGGGUAUCGAACAGGAUUAGAUACCCUGGUAGUCCACGCAGUAAACGAUGAAUACUAACUGUUUGCGAUACAAUGUAAGCGGUACAGCGAAAGCGUUAAGUAUUCCACCUGGGGAGUACGCCGGCAACGGUGAAACUCAA
This 360-nucleotide ribosomal RNA is filed under the name uncultured bacterium. RNAcentral describes it as "bacterial SSU rRNA". It matches the Rfam family "Bacterial small subunit ribosomal RNA", at positions 541 to 904 of the family's 1533-position model. The record is from RNAcentral.